This 301-nucleotide ribosomal RNA is filed under the name uncultured bacterium. RNAcentral describes it as "partial 16S ribosomal RNA". It matches the Rfam family "Bacterial small subunit ribosomal RNA", at positions 509 to 809 of the family's 1533-position model. The record is from RNAcentral.
CAGUCGCCGCGGGAAUACGUAGGGCGCAAGCGUUAUCCGGAAUUAUUGGGCGUAAAGAGCUCGUAGGCGGUUUGUCGCGUCUGCCGUGAAAGUCCGGGGCUCAACCCCGGAUCUGCGGUGGGUACGGGCAGACUAGAGUGAUGUAGGGGAGACUGGAAUUCCUGGUGUAGCGGUGAAAUGCGCAGAUAUCAGGAGGAACACCGAUGGCGAAGGCAGGUCUCUGGGCAUUAACUGACGCUGAGGAGCGAAAGCAUGGGGAGCGAACAGGAUUAGAUACCCGGGUAGUCCCUGUCUCUUAUAU